UUGGAGGGCAAGUCUGGUGCCAGCAGCCGCGGUAUUCCAGCUCCAGUAGCGUAUAUUUAAGUUGUCGCAGUUAAAAAGCUCGUAGUUGAAUUUCGGGGUCAGUAGGUUGGUCAUGCCACUGGUAUGUACUGGUCUCACUGAUUCCUCCUUCCUGAUGAACUGUAAUGCCAUUAAUUUGGUGUUGCAGGGAAUCUGGACUGUUACUUUGAAAAAAUUAGAGUGUUUAAAGCAGGCUAACGCCUGAAUACAUUAGCAUGGAAUAAUGAAAUAGGACGUUCGAUCCUAUUUUGUUGGUUUCUAGGAUUGACGUAAUGAUUAAUAGGGAUAGUUGGGGGCACUAGUAUUCAAUUGUCAGAGGUGAAAUUCUUGGAUUUAUUGAAGACUAACUACUGCGAAAGCAUUUGCCAAGGAUGUUUUCAUUAAUCAAGAACGAGAGUUAGGGGAUCGAAGACGAUCAGAUACCGUCGUAGUCUUAACCAUAAACUAUGCCGACUAGGGAUCGGAUGAUGUUAAUUUUUUAAUGACUCAUUCGGCGCCUUACGGGAAACCAAAGUGUUUGGGUUC
Molecule: ribosomal RNA, 564 nt
Filed under: uncultured Glomeromycotina
Lineage: Eukaryota; Fungi; Glomeromycota
Description: SSU rRNA
Rfam family: Eukaryotic small subunit ribosomal RNA
Source: RNAcentral